This 1751-nucleotide long non-coding RNA is filed under the name Dermacentor andersoni. RNAcentral's name for it is "uncharacterized LOC126536402". Lineage: Eukaryota; Metazoa; Arthropoda; Arachnida; Ixodida; Ixodidae. The record is from RNAcentral.
UGUAGAACAGGAGAUGAAGCCCUUUGUAGGGCUAAUGUGGGAUAUACUCGGUAUUGAAUUGGCAUUAUAACAAUAGGCCCCCCCCCCCCUUUUAUCGGGGCUCCAUGAAGCAGAAUAUAUGGGCAGUGCACUGACCGAUGCACACCUCGCCUUAACGCGUGUAUUGCGCAAAGUGCGGUUCGUAGCAGCCGCAUUGUUGACCCUUGUUAUUGAACGCUUCUAGCAAACUGUAACUCCACCUAUCGCUAGUCUGGUCAGACGCCAGAUGCACGUUUCAGACCGGCCGUGAUCCGGCGCCCGAUACACUUUACUGCAAUGCACCUUGAAUAGCUAGCGACUGCAGUGAUGCUGCUACUGGCAACGAAAUAUGCUUAAGGGCAGAUGGGCGCAGUCACGCUUCUCAGAAAAGGUUCUAGUACACUCUGACCAGUACGCCUUCUAUAGAUUCUCUUAAAUUGCAAAAAUAUGUACUAUAACAUCUGUUCUCAUUAUGGUAGCACUAUGACCAAUUAAGGCUGUAAAUUGACGUUCUAAAGGUAAAAGACAAUGCGAGUAGAGGUAAGGUCUUUUGACUCAUGCGGCAUGAACGCAUCGGUUGCUGUGCUGAUUGGCAUCUGCAAAACGUCCCUGCAUUUACAUAUGAUACAACUGUGCAAAAUAGCUGUAAACUUGGCUCAUAGAUAUCCAGAGAAUCUCGCUGGUCAUUUGGUGUGGUGGAUUUGCUGGCAAGCUACCUGCCACACUAGUUAUUUGUUUGAUUUUUACAUCUGAAAUCUCAAGACUGAAUUUAAGCAUCGACUCAUAUUAAUGGAAGGUGUCUUGCAUGCUUGUUUUCUUCCUGUAGGCUCCUAUCACAGUGACAGACCAGACCCCCAUGGAAACUGUGAUUGACAUGUUCCGCAAGUUGGGCUUGAGGCAGACUCUAGUCACGCACAAUGGAAAAAUCUUGGGCAUUAUUACCAAGAAGGAUGUUUUACGCCACAUCAAGCUCCUUGCCAACGAAGACCCAGAGUCCGUGCUCUUCAACUAAUACAGCCAAGAGAGGCCAUCCACAAGACACUGUUGAGAGUCCAUUGUGUUUGAAGCGAGGACUUCGGGGACCAGCCCUGGCACUUUUAGUCAGGAUGGUGCUAGCAGCUGCGCAUGUACUCAAAAAAAGAAAAAAAUGAAAUGACCCCGCUCUCGUUAGCAAACAGCUGCUGCAACAAGCAGCACCCCCUCACAAACUGCAGCAAAGGACUUUGAUGUGUGUGCGAUGUUCUAGGGCACCUCCUCGGACCACUUCCCCUCAAUUUGACUCCAGUGGUCGUAGUCAUUAAUAGUGCGCAGCUGAGUGGGGGAAAGUGGUCUGGAAAGCAGCGUAGCAAGAACCGUGAGGUGUCAUCCUCCUCUCUCUGUAGCAUGCAGCUACGCUCAUUUGUGUACAGUGUAUUAUCGUCGCGUGCAAAAGAACCAGUCCUGGUGAGAGCAGCAGCUGCGAUUGAUUGACCCUCCAGGAUGCCCAUCUCCUAAACCCACCCCCUUUUACCCUCCCCCUCCUUUACACCCUCUAAUUUAAGAACGGCUACUUGUGUGUGCGACACACAGAAGACUGUCAUUUCGAGUAGUUGCUGCAUUUACAAUGUUCACUGUUUGUAUUUUAACACUACUGCAUCUUUACUUUUUUUGUUGCUCUUAACAAUAUACACACAAUUCCUGCAGCAAGCUCAAAAAAUACAAAGAAAAGAAAGAAAACCGUGUGACUUGACUCA